UGAACUCUAUUACUCUCUGCGUAUUUUUCAUUUCUUCAAUUUUUAUUUUAGCAUUUUCUAUUAUUUUGAACUGUUUGUAGUUAUUUUGAAGUAUUUCUUUUUUUUUACAGAAUGAACUUGAGGCUCUUCCCUAGAAGAAUAAUUGGAUUGAGUAAAGUUUUUUAUUUUAUUUUUCAUUGUGGUUCUAUAUUGAUAUUGAUUGAGUAAAGUUUU
RNAcentral lists this long non-coding RNA (213 nucleotides) under Lathyrus oleraceus (garden pea). RNAcentral's name for it is "Pisum sativum (pea) long non-coding RNA (PSAT_LNC039569)". The record is from RNAcentral. Lineage: Eukaryota; Viridiplantae; Streptophyta; Magnoliopsida; Fabales; Fabaceae.